ACACUUACCUGGCAGGGAGAUACCAUGAUCGUGAAGGUGAUUUUCCCAGGGCGAGUCUUGUCCAUUGCACCACGGAUGUGCUGACCCCUGCGAUUUCCCCAAAUGUGGGAAACUCCACUGCACAACUAGUGGUAGUGGGGGACUGCGUUCGCGCUCUCCCCUG
Molecule: small nuclear RNA, 163 nt
Organism: Molossus molossus (Pallas's mastiff bat)
Lineage: Eukaryota; Metazoa; Chordata; Mammalia; Chiroptera; Molossidae
Product: U1 spliceosomal RNA
Exons: 1
Source: RefSeq, a predicted model, not a curated record